Molecule: non-coding RNA, 519 nt
Organism: Galeopterus variegatus (Sunda flying lemur)
Lineage: Eukaryota; Metazoa; Chordata; Mammalia; Dermoptera; Cynocephalidae
Source: the annotation of a RefSeq genome assembly
GGAGACACCUUCUCCAGCCCUGACAGUGCCAUGGCUGUCAGGCUCCUCUGCAAAGUGGGCUUUUACCUUCUGGAGGCAGGCCUCAUGGAUGUUCAUAUCUCCCAGACCCCACGACACCAUGUUAUGGGGAAGGAAAAGAUUACUCUGAAAUGUCCUCAAACCAUAGGCCUUGACAAAAUGUCCUGUUAUCAACAAGAUCCAGGAAUGGAACUACAGCUGAUCCAUUAUUCAUAUGGUUUUAACACCACAGAGAAAGGAAAGAUUUCCUCUGAGUCAACAGUCUCCAGGAUAAGGAAGGAGCAUUUUUCCCUGACCCUGGAGUCUGCCAGCCCCUCACACACAUCUUGGUACCUCUGUGCCAGCAGUGAAUACACAGCCCUACACAGGCACCUACAGACUGCACAAAAAUGGCAGUCACUAAGGUGUGGAAGUCCUGCCUUCAGAAACCUCAUCUUAAACUGCAGAAUCCACUGCAAAUCCUCCCAGGCUCCUCAGUCCUGGAGGACCAGUGUGGCCUGA